This 1356-nucleotide long non-coding RNA is filed under the name Monodelphis domestica (gray short-tailed opossum). RNAcentral's name for it is "lncRNA (ENSMODG00000043172.1)". Lineage: Eukaryota; Metazoa; Chordata; Mammalia; Didelphimorphia; Didelphidae. The record is from RNAcentral.
AUGCCACUCGUUAGGGCGCGAUCUGCCUCAUCUCACGCCACGGCCCGAGCAUCCUCCCAAGCACGCCGGGACGCCGGCCCCGUGGCUCGGGAUCCAGCAGGCGCCCCUCCCCCCCGGCUCCUAGAGCGGAUCCCAAUCGGCCUCCCUUCCCGGCCAGAUCCAGGGGAGUCGGCCCCCCCCGGGAACCCUGGGGCGACCCUCCUCCAGAAGAGGGGCUCCACGACGCUCCGGGCACCAACGCAGGGGGCUGCGGGCUUUCUCCCCGGGCCCUUUCCAGAACUUUGCUGCCCCAACACACGCGCACACGGCACACGCACACACAUGGCACAUGAAUACAUGUACACGCACACACGGCACACGCACACACGGCACACAUGCAUGCACGUGCACACUGUGCCCUCCAGGACAGACCUUUUCCCAGGCAUUCACAGGGCACGGCCCAUCCCCCAGCAGCCCCCUCCUCCCAGGAGGGACCCGGGGGUCACCCUAGGGUCAUGGGGGAGGGGCCGCUCGACUCCUCCCCGGCCGUGCCUCAGACUAAGCUGCGCUGGGGGGGACACAGAGAGCCGCCCCCCCAGGAAAUCUGCCGGCUCCCAGCCCCCAGGGGCGCCACGCUGGGAAGAAGGGGAGGCUGGGGCUGGGGGGCAUCUCCUCCCCUCCCGGGUCCCCCGGACGCCAGGGCCACGGGCAGCCGCUCUUGGGAAUCCGUUUAUUGCAAAGGCGGCUUCUGAGCGUCACCAAGAUAGUCGCGGGCGGCACCCAAGGUCCGAAGUACAAAGAGCCCUCCUGGCGGGACGUGGGAGCGCGCCGCGCCGUCACAAGUCCAGCGCUUCCGUCAGCUUUCUCUCUUCAGGGAUACCAUUUACCUGUAACACAGAGCCACGUGGUGAGGAGGGGGGCAAACGGGGCAAGCAAAAGACAGCUCAGAAGAGGGGAGCCCCUCAAAAAGCUGACUCCACCCCCCCGCCAGCCCAUUUUACAGAGGAGGAAACUGGAGGCUGCCAACACGUUAAGGGCCUCCGUGGAGGGGUCAGGAUUGGCCGAGCUGCCUCCGAGGCCCACAGGCAGAUCUCGCACUCGGCCCUCCCCUUCCUGUGCACAAGGAGAAGGGGGGAUCCGGCCGAGCUCCCGAGGGGGCUGGCGCGCGGCCCAGAAGGUGGUGCUGCCGCUAGUCCCUGCCCCGCAGAGAGCCCGUCGCCUCGUCCGCCCUCUUCGGCUCUCUCUUGCCCCUGGGCGGGCCGUGUGGCCGGAAGGCCCGAGAGAGCCCACGGACCACUGGCCGGGCACCCCGGCACCAGGGACCCAAACUGCCGUCUGGUUCGGCGGACAGAACGGUGCCUUCGCGGGGGCUUCUAG